This is a small nucleolar RNA of Carcharodon carcharias (great white shark), 149 nucleotides long. Lineage: Eukaryota; Metazoa; Chordata; Chondrichthyes; Lamniformes; Lamnidae. The record is from RefSeq and is a predicted model, not a curated record.
CUUCAGUGAUGAUGCUUGAUGACGAGUCUGAUGGAACUUAGCUUGUCUCAGGAUUCUUGAUGCAGCUGGCAUGUUCUGUGCUUCUGAAUCUGGACUCCUGGGUGCUGUGUCUCAUCUAGUGACGACUUUGAGGCAUUUGUCUGAGAAGG